AGCGAACGCUGGCGGCAGGCUUAACACAUGCAAGUCGAGCGGGCACUUUCGGGUGUCAGCGGCGGACGGGUGAGUAACGCGUGGGAACGUGCCCUCUGGUUCGGAAUAACUCAGGGAAACUUGAGCUAAUACCGGAUACGCCCUUUUGGGGAAAGGCUUGCUGCCGGAGGAUCGGCCCGCGUCUGAUUAGCUAGUUGGUGAGGUAACGGCUCACCAAGGCGACGAUCAGUAGCUGGUCUGAGAGGAUGAUCAGCCACACUGGGACUGAGACACGGACCCGAAUGCUACGGGAGGCAGCAGUGGAGAAUAUUGGACACUGAGCGCAAGCCUGAUCAAGCCAUGCCGCGUGAGUGAUGAAGGCCUUAGGGUUGUAAAGCUCUUUUAUCCGGGACGAUAAUGACGGUACCGGAGGAAUAAGCCCCGGCUAACUUCGUG
Molecule: ribosomal RNA, 435 nt
Filed under: uncultured bacterium
Lineage: Bacteria
Description: partial 16S ribosomal RNA
Rfam family: Bacterial small subunit ribosomal RNA
Source: RNAcentral